AACGAACGCUGGCGGCAUGCCUAACACAUGCAAGUCGAACGAGACCUUCGGGUCUAUUGGCGCACGGGUGCGUAACGCGUGGUAACCUGCCCUUAGGUUCGGAAUAACUCCCCGAGAGGGGUGCUAAUACCGGAUAAGGUCUUCGGACCAAAGAUUUAUCGCCUUUGGAUGGGCCCGGGUUGGAUUAGCUGGUUGGUAGGGUAAAAGCCUACCAAGGCGACGAUCCAUAGCUGGUCUGAGAGGAUGAUCAGCCACACUGGGACUGAGACACGGACCAGACUCCUACGGGAGGCAGCAGUGGGGAAUAUUGGACAAUGGGCGCAAGCCUGAUCCAGCAAUGCCGCGUGAGUGAUGAAGGCCUUAGGGUUGUAAAGCUCUUUUACCCGGGAUGAUAAUGACAGUACCGGGAGAAUAAGCUCCGGCUAACUCCGUG
RNAcentral lists this ribosomal RNA (433 nucleotides) under uncultured bacterium. RNAcentral describes it as "partial 16S ribosomal RNA". It matches the Rfam family "Bacterial small subunit ribosomal RNA", at positions 29 to 507 of the family's 1533-position model. The record is from RNAcentral.